This 482-nucleotide ribosomal RNA is filed under the name uncultured bacterium. RNAcentral's name for it is "bacterial SSU rRNA". It matches the Rfam family "Bacterial small subunit ribosomal RNA", at positions 340 to 839 of the family's 1533-position model. The record is from RNAcentral.
UACGGGAGGCAGCAGUGGGGAAUAUUGCACAAUGGGGGAAACCCUGAUGCAGCAACGCCGCGUGAGUGAUGAAGGCCUUCGGGUUGUAAAGCUCUGUCUUCAGGGACGAUAAUGACGGUACCUGAGGAGGAAGCCACGGCUAACUACGUGCCAGCAGCCGCGGUAAUACGUAGGUGGCAAGCGUUGUCCGGAUUUACUGGGCGUAAAGGGAGCGUAGGCGGAUACUUAAGUGGGAUGUGAAAUACCUGGGCUUAACUUGGGUGCUGCAUUCCAAACUGGGUGUCUAGAGUGUUGGAGAGGAAAGUGGAAUUCCUAGUGUAGCGGUGAAAUGCGUAGAGAUUAGGAAGAACACCAGUGGCGAAGGCGACUUUCUGGACAAUAACUGACGCUGAGGCUCGAAAGCGUGGGGAGCAAACAGGAUUAGAUACCCUGGUAGUCCACGCCGUAAACGAUGGGUACUAGGUGUAGGGGGCAUCGACUCC